UUCCCUCUCUGGGAUCUGCUGGGAUAAGAGCUUUGCUUUCAUUUUGGUGAAGAGGCUCUUGCAGCUUAUCUCAGCUUGUUUUCAGCAGGUGCUUUUGGGCAUGUGGAGCAACAGAGGCUUUGAAGGAGGAGCGCAACUUCCAGAAAUUCCAGUUUGUGUCAAGUACAACCCUUUUUUCAGCAGAUUCAUCAUGUCACAAAAGGCAUCUGCAUUGUGUCAAAGAUGAUGUUUGAGACUGAGACUUCAGAUGAGUUGAGGAUUGUGACUAGGAGAGGGAAGGUGCUACUCAUAAUAACAGCCACAGCCUUGGACUCAGGAUGAAGCUGGAGACUCAAGGACCCUGGCAUGCUCAGGAGAAG
Molecule: long non-coding RNA, 359 nt
Organism: Passer domesticus (house sparrow)
Lineage: Eukaryota; Metazoa; Chordata; Aves; Passeriformes; Passeridae
Exons: 3
Source: RefSeq, a predicted model, not a curated record